Arachis ipaensis is the source of this 1874-nucleotide long non-coding RNA. RefSeq lists it as uncharacterized. The record is from RefSeq and is a predicted model, not a curated record. Lineage: Eukaryota; Viridiplantae; Streptophyta; Magnoliopsida; Fabales; Fabaceae.
UAUAUACUUCACAGCUAAGCUUAGCUCAGAUGGUAAUCCAUGUGCCUCUUAAUAAGCUGUAUCCGGAUUCGAACCUUGAUAAAUAUUGUGUGGGUCUGUAAACAUGGGAUCGACUGGUAAACCGGUUAUAGGACUGGUCCAGCCAAAACAUAGAAUCAAAUAAAGAAAAUAAUUGGUGAAAAUCGAUUGAACUUGAUCGAUUUUAUAAAAAUUAGUGACCCGGUGGGUUUGAGAAAUUCGAACCGAUUCAAAAUUAUUUUUUUUAAUGGUUGUCAUUUUGAAUUUCAAGAAAAAAAAAAGAAAAAUAGAACCUUAAUCCAGCGAAGGAUCCCCCUCCCCAAUCCACUCUCUCACUCCUCCUCACUCUGAAAUGGGCCAAACGGCAGAGGAGCUCAAUGCGGCGCCUCAAUCUUCUCACUCUCACAGAGCCGCUUCCCUCUCUCAAAGAAAGAAAGGAUGUGACAAACCCUAGCCUUUGUUGCCGCCACCGUUCUUCUCAUCGCCACCGUCCUGCAGUUCUUCGAUAGCUUCUUUUUUUCUCGUCACCAGCUUCUUCACCUGGUCCCGCAUGAUUCAUCGUCUAUCGUCAGGUCCAGUUCAUCGCGUAGCCAACCUCUUUACCUGGUCCAGCUUCGUCGUCCGUCGCGUCGCCUGGUCUAGCUUUGUCGUCCCUCAUGUGCUCGUCGCCAACGGUCUUGCUUCCUCUCCCUCAUAUUCUGCUAGUUCUCCGCGUUGUAAUCAUAAGGAGAAGGACGCAGUGCCGCUAGCUUCUCCGCGUCACAUUCUUUCUCCUCUUUCAUACUCUACUCGUUUGAAGACCACCGAAGGUUCUGAAAAUCAGUUCGAACUGGCAGUCAAAUCAGAAACCGUUGCUAAAGACGGUUUGGACAGAAGCAGAAACCGGUAGAUUAAGAAACUGGUUAUGGAUCGCCGAACCGAAUCGUGACCGGGUCAGUUUCUAAAUUUUGCAAAAAAAUGCAGUGUUUCGUCACUUUGUGUUUGGAUUUUGGAACCUUAACUCCUUAACCAGUGACCAUCACCCCAGUACCCCUCUACUCUCCAGUUUCCAGUCCACAAUGCAUAGAAGGAGAACGUGAAGCAACUUCUGGCGCAACUUCCGAAGCCACCACCACCAUUGCAACUUCAAGCUGUUCAAGGCCACCGGCGCAACCUCCGUUCAGCCAAUGUCCAGACUCCAGCCACCGCCAGCUCUGUUCACGCAGCCACUGUCCGUCGCGCAACCACUUCCCGUCACGGCCAUCUCUGUUCCACACUUCCACUGUAUUGUUGUUGGAUUGGUGGUAAUUAUUAGGUAUGGAUGAGAGUAUCAUCGAGCUUGUCUCACACUCAGCCACUCUCCUUCUCCUUCCUCUCAUUGAGCUCCUCCCUCACUCCCUCACUUCCGUCUAGCCACCGUCACAGCUUUCUUACCCUCCAUCGCGAAGCCACCGUCGUAACUUUGUCUCCUCUGUCGGCGCCAGCUCUAUUCCAAUGCACUCUUGUCCCUUCAGCCGUGUUAGCCCUUCGGUCGUGCUCCUUGUCUCCCUCUAACUCAGUCUGCUCUGUUCUAGCUUCUAGGUUUUUUUUAACUAUAAUUGACUAAUUGUUGUUAGUUAAUUGAUGAACUAUGAUUUUUCAUUACUGGGAUUUAGGAUUGUGGAUAAUUUUGAAUAGAUGUUGUUAGUUAAUCUAUGAACCUUGCUGUUGUUACUUGUUACUGGGUUGAAUAAUUUUGAAUAAUUUUAACUGUUGAGAUUACUAGUUGGAAUGGGUUGUUGUGGGUUGCUAUGGAUUACUGUGAUAUUGUAAUUGAAUUGUAUUGUUUGCUCAGACUGCUCAGAACGAAGGCAAUGGCUUUAGUUGAUUUUAAUUUU